This is a long non-coding RNA of Engraulis encrasicolus (European anchovy), 2296 nucleotides long. RefSeq lists it as uncharacterized. NCBI's taxonomy places the organism in Eukaryota, Metazoa, Chordata, Actinopteri, Clupeiformes, Engraulidae. The record is from RefSeq and is a predicted model, not a curated record. The transcript has 3 exons.
GUUACCUUCAUAAUGUAAAUAAUUGGAAACCUACUGAAGAAUAUUUUAUUUGGAAUUGCAUUCAAUUGUACCCUGGUGCUUUGCUGUGCUGCAUUCAUUGUAUUACCUUAUAUUGAAGAAAAGGCCAGUGAAUUCCUUUUAUUCCACAUGUCCAUACACCAAGGAGACGCGCACGUAUUUUCCAAUUUUCCUAAUACAGUCCACCCAUUAGUUACUGAGCUAUGCCCGUUGUAAUAGCUCGUGCCUAGCUGGAUCGAUGCCGCGUGAAGAGCGGACAUGCUUUGUUUUGUCAGCGAACACACAUGGUGGUGGUCAGCUAAUGUCUCUAGAUUCAGCUCUCAGUCAGAUGGAGUAGCAGCAGCUAUCACUGUAGACCAAACAAGAACAUUGCUUGUGUGGUUGUGCAUCAAAGGAAAACGUUAAAUGCAAAAUUCCAAAUCGCAUAGGCAUGAACCCAUUGAACUGUGCAUACAAAAUGUUAAUGUGUAGAGUAAAAUGGUGCAGGUUAAGGGCAUUAAAGAUCCAUUUUGCCAAAUUAAUUGAACAGGCUAAUGGCUAAAACGGAAUAAAAAAAGGUUUUUGAAGGUUGAAUUUGUGUUGAAAUAAUGUUCAGAUUAUCCUCAUGCACUUAGUACACUAUCACAGAGUAAUUUAAUCAUCUGAUGCAUGUCCUUAUCUUGUCCCCUCCCCCUUCUCCCUUCUUUUUCUAGCUGUUCGUGCAAGAGCAUUUUUAAGUGAACUUGGUGCACGCAUCACAGGGACCCAAGUGGUUGAACAGCACAGAAAACAGUGAGUUUUGAGUACAAAAUGUAAAAUUCAAAUUUUUGUGCAGAGUAAAGGUGUGAAAGCCCCAUAUUUAAAAAAAGGCUUCACCUAUCUGCAGACGGGCUGAACUUGGGCUGGGCAUUAGCUUAGCGUGAUGGAAGCCCAAGACAACAUUUUUUGGAGAUAUUAACACAUUAAAGGCUGACUUAAAGGGCAAAAUGACUUAUUUUGAGGCAUUGCUUAAAACGGUAGUUUCAUGUUUUGAUAUGUCUGUGAUGGUAUGUUAUAGAGCUUGUCUCUUUCUAACCCAUGCACAAUUUAUUAUAGGAUAUUCUGGUGCCUUUUGAAAUGGCUUAAUGCAAAACUAUGGUUUUGAACUGUUUAUGUGUUUCAUGUUUUAAUGAUGUUCACUUACUGCCCUCAUAUGUCUAGAUAAUACAAGGUGUGGACCUAAGAUCUGAUGUGUGGGUCUCUCUUGUGUUUUCUUCUUUCUCUAGUUGUUUGAGCAGUGAAAGUGUGAUUCAAAGCAGAUGAUUUUAACAGCACCACGAGACAAACAGUUCAGCGGCACAGAGAACAGUGUUCAUGCAAGAUCCUUUGUAAGUGAACUUGGCGCACGUGGCAUUCAACACAGCUGAGUGGGAUACCAAGCAUAAAACGGCACAGAAAAUAGACGCUGAUGAAGAACGGAUGUCCGAGGACCUUGCUGCUCAAAAAAUGAAGAUCUACAGCAUCAUGUCCAGCUCAGCAGAGGGGCCGAGCGAUGUUGGUGUCGUCAUUGAGGGAGUGAAAGUUCUCACCACUCUGGGUACCUUUGCCAGGGCUUGCUGCAUGCUCCUCGGGCUGACUUAUGCACUAAAUCUGGCCUACCCUAAGGAGCUCAGAUAUACAUUUGAAAUCUUCCAGAAGCUCCUUCUGGAGCUGGACUGUUCGAAGCAGUCCCCAAAGCUGCACACUUUGAAGAGUAAGUUGUUGGACUAAGGAAAUGCCGAACUGGACACUUGAGCUGAGGCGAUGCAAUGGACACUUGACUUCAGUUUUUCAGAACUUAAUGACUUAAAGAUUUACCUUUUAAUUUCUCCAAACACUACUUUUUCAAGCAGGUUGACACGCACAAAAAAGUCAAAUGUGUUAUGCCAUCAUCGGUUGAUUUGUUGAUAUCUGAUGUGUCUGUAGAUGUGUUUGAAGCUGUGAACGAAGCAUUAAGUUAUAUCUACUGUGCCGUUAGCAAACUUAUGCUAAGACCGUGCGAUGGACACUUGAGCUGAGACAGUGCAAUGGACACUUGAGCUGAGGCAGUGCGAUGGACAGUGCAAUGGACACUUGAGCUGAGGCAGUGCAAUGGACACUUGAGCUGAGGCAGUGCGAUGGACAGUGCAAUGGACACUUGAGCUGAGACAGUGCAAUGGACACUUGAGCUGAGACAGUGCAAUGGACACUUGAGCUGAAGCAGUGCGAUGGACAGUGCAAUGGACACUUGAGCUGAAGCAGUGCGAUGGACAGUGCAAUGGACACUUAAGCUGAGACUGUG